CAUUAAGUGCAGGAAAAGAAACCAAAUGGGAUUCCCCCAGUAACGGCGAGUGAAGUGGGAUGAGCUCAGCACCGAAGCCGGCGGUCGAGAGGCCGUCGUGCAAUGUGGUGUUCGGGAGGGCUCUGUCCGUGUCCGGCGUCGGUCCAAGUCUCCUGGAAAGGAGUUCCGUGGAGGGUGACAGGCCCGUGCGACCGAUCGCCGCGCUCGCGGACGAGUCCUCCUUCGAGUCGGGUUGCUCGCUAAUGCAGCCCUAAGCAGGUGGUAAGCUCCAUCUAAAGCUAAAUAUAACCACGAGUCCGAUAGUCAACAAGUACAGUGAUGGAAAGUUGAAAAGUACUCUGAAGAGAGAGUCAAAUAGCCCGUGAAGCUGCCAGUAUGGGAUUAAGCGCACGUGUGACGCGUGUCGUCGGACAAAUAGGCGCUCGUCGGCUGCUGCACGGCGCGCGUCGGCAUCGGAAACGGUGUCGGCGCGUGUCGCUGUUGGGCGGUCGGCGGCACGCCUCCCUUUGUUUGGCAUCGACAGGUCGGGGCUUCGUUGUCCGGUCUUAUUGCCGGUCGUGAUCCUUAGAGCCGUGUCGGGCCGGCGCCGUCUUCGGACGUGUGCCGGUGCUCCGUGGAAUGUGCGCUUCGGCGGCCACGGCCGGUUUGGUCUUUGGUGCAAUGCGACCGAUUGGCGAACGACUGGGCGACGGCCAGCGCAAAGCGACUCGCAAGAGUCGGCUCGGCCUUUGCGUCGUCACGUGCGGCCCGUCUUGAAACACGGACCAAGGAGUCUAACAUGUGAGCGAGCGAUUGAGAUUGUCAAAUCUCAAACGCGCAAUGAAAGUGAAGUGUCGUCUGACGGCACGAGCGGAGAUCCGUCGUCACUCGUGGCGGCGGCGCACCCGCGGGCCACGCCAUCGGCUGGCUUGCUUCUCUGAAGCACUGCUGAGGCGUGGACCUAGAGCCCACACGUUGGGACCCGAAAGAUGGUGAACUAUGCCUGGCCAGGAUGAAGCCAGAGGAAACUCUGGUGGAGGUCCGCCGCGAUUCUGACGUGCAAAUCGAUCGUCUGAGCUGGGUAUAGGGGCGAAAGACCAAUCGAACCAUCUAGUAGCUGGUUCCGCCCGAAGUUUCCCUCAGGAUAGCUGGCGCUCGUGUGAUACGGAGUUUCAUCCGGUAAAGCGAAUGAUCAGAGGAGCUGGGCUCCUUGCGAGCUCAACCUAUUCUCAAACUUUCAAUGGGUGAGACGUCUCGCUGGCUUCACUGCAGCGACGACUCUGAAUCCGAGUGCCCAGUGGGCCACUUUUGGUAAGCAGAACUGGCGAUGCGGGAUGAACCGCAUGUCGAGUUAAGGUGCCUAAGCGAACGCAAAUCAGAUACCAUGAAAGGUGUUGAUUGCUCACGACAGCAGGACGGUGGCCAUGGAAGUCGGCAUCCGCUAAGGAGUGUGUAACAACUCACCUGCCGAAGCAAUCAGCCCUGAAAAUGGAUGGCGCUAAAGCGUUCCACCGAUACUCGACCGUCGUCGGCAGGCGACGUGCAUGCCACGUCUCAAGCCACGACGAGUAGGGCGGCGCGGUGGUGAGCGUCGAAGGCGUAGCCGUGAGGCUAGCUGGAGCCGCCAUCGGUGCAGAUCUUGGUGGUAGUAGCAAAUACACAAGCAAGAUCCUUGUGGACCGAUGUGGAGAAGGGUUCCGCGCGAACAGUACUUGGACGUGGGUGAGUCGGCCCUAAGCCAACGGGUAAUUCCCGCAUCCCGUGUUGAACGUUUCUGAAUCGAAUAACAUGGGUUGAU
This 1777-nucleotide ribosomal RNA is filed under the name Perforatus perforatus. RNAcentral's name for it is "eukaryotic LSU rRNA". It matches the Rfam family "Eukaryotic large subunit ribosomal RNA", at positions 44 to 1593 of the family's 3401-position model. The record is from RNAcentral. Lineage: Eukaryota; Metazoa; Arthropoda; Thecostraca; Balanomorpha; Balanidae.